UGGGAGUUUGUAUUAGAAAUAAGAGAUUGAGAUUGAAAUUGUGGUUUUAGAAUUUGGAGUUUGGAAUGGAAAGAAUAGAUUGAGGUUAAAGGGAUGAUGGGGUUUGGUGUAUAUGAAGUAGAAGAUAAGGAAGAUGGGGUUUGGGGUUUCGGAUUUUAGGGAUUUAAACAUAUUCCUCAUAAUUUCCUCGUAAGAUACCGAGGAAAUAACGAUGAAAAGAACGCGGGCCUCGCUAAUUCCUCGUUAAUUCCACGUAAGCACAAUUCGUCGUAAAGACCUCGUAAGAGGAAAACGCGGACCACGUGAAUUCCUCGUAAAUAAUAACACCGGCCUUGCUAUUUCCUCGUACAUGAGCGACCAAUAAAAAAGAAGAAAAAAAAAGAAAGAGAAGAAAGAUACCGAAAUCAUAGGAGGGAAGAAACAAGGCGAGACCUACGUAAGUCUAGCCUUCUCUCCGCCCACAUGUGUUCCCGUAUCUUUCUCCCCUUCCUUUUUUUCAAAUCUUUCUAAUUUGAGAAGCAAACUGGUGAAUAAUUAUUUCUGAUUUGCAGAGUUUAUCUUUGAUUUGAGAAGCAAACUGGUGUAUAUUUAUAGAAAACGUGGGCCUCGCUAAUUCCUCGUUAAUUCCACGUAAGCACAAUUCGUCGUAAAGACGUCGUAAAUAAAAACGCGGGCCUCGCUAAUCCCUUGUUACACAACGAGGAAGUUACGAGGAAACAAAACGCGGGCCUCACUAAUUCCUCGUAUAAAAUAAUGCGGGCCUCGCUAGUUCCUCGUAAAGUUACGAGGAAAUUACGACAAUAACUAAUUUCUUAAAUAAACACGCGAGCCCGCUCUCCCAUUU
This 844-nucleotide long non-coding RNA is filed under the name Brassica napus (rape). RNAcentral describes it as "long non-coding RNA (BNAP_LNC018668)". Lineage: Eukaryota; Viridiplantae; Streptophyta; Magnoliopsida; Brassicales; Brassicaceae. The record is from RNAcentral.